This 73-nucleotide transfer RNA is filed under the name Paramuricea clavata. It matches the Rfam family "tRNA". Rfam says of the family: Transfer RNA (tRNA) molecules are approximately 80 nucleotides in length. Lineage: Eukaryota; Metazoa; Cnidaria; Anthozoa; Malacalcyonacea; Plexauridae. The record is from Rfam by way of RNAcentral.
GACCGAGUAGCUCAAUUGGCAGAGCAUUGGGCUAGUAUUCCAAAGGUCGUAGGUUCGAUUCCCACCGUGGCCG